GGGGCUGAUUCUGGAUUCGACGGGAUUUGCGAAACCCAAGGUGCAUGCCGAGGGGCGGUUGGCCUCGUAAAAAGCCGCAAAAAAUAGUCGCAAACGACGAAAACUACGCUUUAGCAGCUUAAUAACCUGCUUAGAGCCCUCUCUCCCUAGCCUCCGCUCUUAGGACGGGGAUCAAGAGAGGUCAAACCCAAAAGAGAUCGCGUGGAAGCCCUGCCUGGGGUUGAAGCGUUAAAACUUAAUCAGGCUAGUUUGUUAGUGGCGUGUCCGUCCGCAGCUGGCAAGCGAAUGUAAAGACUGACUAAGCAUGUAGUACCGAGGAUGUAGGAAUUUCGGACGCGGGUUCAACUCCCGCCAGCUCA
This 359-nucleotide transfer-messenger RNA is filed under the name Escherichia coli. It matches the Rfam family "transfer-messenger RNA". From Rfam's summary of the family: Bacterial tmRNA, also known as 10Sa RNA or SsrA, is named for its dual tRNA and mRNA-like properties. Its role is to liberate the mRNA from a stalled ribosome. The record is from RNAcentral. Lineage: Bacteria; Pseudomonadati; Pseudomonadota; Gammaproteobacteria; Enterobacterales; Enterobacteriaceae.